Non-coding RNA from Lolium perenne, 2123 nucleotides. The record is from RefSeq and is a predicted model, not a curated record. Lineage: Eukaryota; Viridiplantae; Streptophyta; Magnoliopsida; Poales; Poaceae.
AGAGGUCACGGUGUACCCGGCGACGGAAGGGCAGCCAUGGGCGGUCGGUUGGGCGGCGCACGAGAAUCUGCAGGCGGCUCACACUUUCCCACUCUCGCUGGGCUCCUCUCUCUCUGAUCUGGCCAUAGUGCUGCAAUGUUCCCAUAGAGAAGCAUCAGGACCAGCAGUGAAAAAAAUCCUUCAGAUGCACCGCAUCAACCAGUUGGAGACAGAUCAAGGGUCAAGGUCUGAGUGUUGGGAAACGCCACAAGAAGGGGAUUUGUAGGAUGAAGGACACAAACCAAGUACCACAGUGCGUGUAGUCGUGGGCAUCUAUGAAGGCGCUCCUCAGGCUGCUCGAGUGCAUCCUGUAGUAGCGAGGUCGACAUCCUGGUUUGGGGCGAGUACCAUGGCGGCGUGCCACAUCCCUGCAGGCAAGCUGGGCAGCAGCAUUUCCACGGGUGAUGGGUACAGAACAUGUAAGCAAGGAGAGGAGGAAUUAAAAAAAAAUACCAAUUUGGCCACAUAUUUGAUUUGAGAAGCAAGGGUGGCCUGGAGUCCAUGUUCAGGUUCUCGGUUGACGAGAACACCGUUGUGCCCGGCACCGGUCACAACCAUGGCCAUCAAGAAGAUCAAAUAGGAACGCUUACAGGAUGCUGGUACUUUUUUACCACUACCAAUCUUCUUAACAGAAUCAUUUCUUAUUGAAUUUCCCAAAUAUUUUGCUAUCAAAUAUGUUCUCUGUUUCUGAAGAAAAUGUGCAACCUGAAUGGAACUGGCUCAGAUGAUGAGACCACUGUUGUGCUGGCCAGCCCCGACACCGGGAUGGUAAUCUUCAUGAAGAAACUCAAAUAGGAAGGCCUCCAUAGUGCAGGCAUUGACUUAUUGGUGUGAUAUUUCGGUGUAACUGUUGCCAUGCGGCUACAUCUGCACUACACUUUACAUAUCGAUGAACUAAUAGGUGAUUCCUGGAUUUGUAUUUCCAGUUAUAUGCUUUCAAAGAAGGAAAGCCUAAGUGAGCAUGGAGAAAGAUUUUGAAUAAUCUAUCUGCCAUAUCAUAAAUCUGUUAAAUGUGAAAUAUAUUUAUGUUACAGGUCUAAAGUCAAUAGCGCAUUUUAUAUAAUUCUACAACUCUUAACAACUCUAUUUUUUGUUGCAAGAUAUAACUUCCUUCUUCUAUACCAUAUCUUCAAUUUCAGAGGAGUGGCAAGGUACCAACAAAUCAACAUCUUGAUUCCAGUGCACAUGCAACAACUGAAUUUCAAUGUUUAUUAUAGGUUGGCUUGGUGAGAUGGGCAUGCCCUUUGUCUGGUUGCCCUGCUCUGCCUCAAGUGGCCUCCCACACUGCGUUCAUCCCUGGUUCGGCAUGGUCAUGUAAGACAUGGAUUUCUGUAACUCAUGCUGCUUGGUUCAUGGCCUCUUCGUAACAAGAAAUGAGUGGUUGUAUUCUUUGGUCGUGCAAGAUGUAUGAUGUAUGCUCAAUCAUUUUGAUUAUUUUUAAAAAAUUCUAGAAAAGGUAAAUAUAUCAGAAAGUGUUAUAUAAGAAUGUACAAUCAGUUUUGUUUUCCCUGCUACUCUCUGUUUGUUAAUAUAUUGCCUUAGAUUACUCUACUCACACAUACCAUUUAGAGCUGCUUUCUCUGAUUCUUAUUAACCUGCAUAGAUAUCACUAUUAGGUUAGAGUAUGUAUGAUUUGCAAUCCAGUUCUCUUACCACGAUAUCAGAUUUGGUACCAUGGUUGUAGGCUUGUAGCAGAACGUUUUCUUUAGUAGGUUCCUCAACUUGGCCACUGAAUAUUCGAAUGUUUUUCAUGUGCCGAACAAUUUCUUACUGUACCUUGGUAAACUUUACUUGAGCAAAUCAAUUGCAAUUCAGACGUCAGAGCCCACCUUUCAGUGAUGAUCCCUUGUGUUUAAGCAUACGUACAAUUUUUUGUAGGCUAUUAUUUAUGUUUUCCUUUGCUUUCUUUUGUUAUAUUUAUCACAUCGAUUUUUUUCUUCACAAUUCUUCUCUUUUUGAACCUAUGUUUAUUAAUAGUGAGCCUAUGGUACCGAGAUUUUCUGAGCUCGGAGCCUGGUAGCUGCUGUUUUCGAUGUGGGUAGAACCAAAUCUACUAAGACCUUUAACUUCACUUCUUAUUUGGU